UACGUAGGGAGCAAGCGUUAUCCGGAUUUACUGGGUGUAAAGGGCGCGCAGGCGGGCCGGUAAGUUGGAAGUGAAAUCCCGGGGCUUAACCCCGGAACUGCUUUCAAAACUGCUGGUCUUGAGUGAUGGAGAGGCAGGCGGAAUUCCGUGUGUAGCGGUGAAAUGCGUAGAUAUACGGAGGAACACCAGUGGCGAAGGCGGCCUGCUGGACAUUAACUGACGCUGAGGCGCGAAAGCGUGGGGAGCAAACAGG
RNAcentral lists this ribosomal RNA (253 nucleotides) under Agathobaculum desmolans. RNAcentral describes it as "partial 16S ribosomal RNA". It matches the Rfam family "Bacterial small subunit ribosomal RNA", at positions 524 to 776 of the family's 1533-position model. The record is from RNAcentral. Lineage: Bacteria; Bacillati; Bacillota; Clostridia; Eubacteriales; Butyricicoccaceae.